UUCAGUUCUCAAGAAUCAAGACUAAAACAGUACCGCCAAUUCAGCAUUUUAUUGUACCACUUGUCCCAGCCAGUGAGAUCAUAGUAAAAAUAAUAGCAAAAUAUUGAGAAAGGAUAACCUGCAAUACUUUAUUCCAUCUCUGUGUGCAUAACAGAAACAGAACUGGUGAACAUGAUAAAGCAAAAGGUAUUUAGAAUCUAACUACAGCCCCUUAGUUUUCAAGGCUGAUGCCCUACCAUUGAGCUAUGGGGACUUGCAUAUCUUAUGUUCCUGCAUAUAUUUUAUUUUACCAAUAAUUAAUGGGACCACUACAAAAGCCAAAGGUGUCUAUAAGCAAAUCACAUGUAAAGCAAACUAAAUAUAAAAUUUUGCUAGGCAACUUGUAUCUUACAUCCAUUGUUUUAUUCUAUCCUAUCCUACGUCCACAGAUAAGAACAAUGAAGGAAUGGCAAACAAAAAGGUCCCUAAAACAAAAGGGUCCCUUAGGGACUUGUUUGUAUUAUAUUCACAAUGAGAAUUUUUUUCCUACCAAUUGAUUAUUGCCAUAAUAAAAACAAAGGUUCCUUUCAUUUGUCAUAUAUGCUUGAUAAGACCAUAAGCAAAAUAAAUGUUCUUGUAUGACUAUAUUAAAAAGGCAUCUUCAUGCACAACGAUUCCUGCUUAGCAAGAAUGGUGGGAGUUUAUCCAGUCUGCAAUAUUACCUUGAGAUCAGUGGAAACACAACAAAAAUCGUAGGCACCCAGCGGACAUCUGCUUCUUAUGAUUUCUAUGAAAUCUGAUUCCAUCAUUAGCUAAAGGAACUAAAUAUAUAAACAAAGGUUCCCAUGUGUUUAUAAACCCAAGACCAUAACAAAGACCAACAACAGACCUCUGCUUCCCUUCCCAUUUUUUCUAUGAUAAUUAAUUGUAUCAUUAACUAAAGGGUCCACAAACAGAAGUCACCAUUUAUUUUGACAUGUAAGACAAUUUAAAAAAAAACAAAAAAACAAAGGCGCCCAUGUCUUGUAUGGUGGUGAACUUGAAAAAAAUCCAAAGGUCCCCAUGUAGAAUCGAACUACAGCCCUUCAGUUUUAAAGACUGACUCUCUACCAUUGAGCUAUAGGGACUUGCUUUGUAAUUCCCUAAAAUAUUUUAUUAUACCAUUGAAUGAGAACAUGCUAGAAGUCAAAACUAAAGAUCCUUAUGUAAGCAUAACAAAAACUGACGGUUCCUAUAUUAAGCUCCAGUCAGCAUAGGCAAGUCAGUAGAUGGCCAUGUGGUUAUUAUUAUUGACAGAAAUUUCUAUCAGUUUUCUGUCAGUAAUUCAUAUAAAAAUAGCAUCUAAUAAUAAUAGAGAAGGCUUGUAACUGAAAUCCAUUAUCAGAAUUAAUACAA
Molecule: unclassified non-coding RNA, 1374 nt
Filed under: Hevea brasiliensis (rubber tree)
Lineage: Eukaryota; Viridiplantae; Streptophyta; Magnoliopsida; Malpighiales; Euphorbiaceae
Source: RNAcentral